ACUCCUACGGGAGGCAGCAGUGGGGAAUCUUGCGCAAUGGGCGAAAGCCUGACGCAGCAACGCCGCGUGGGGGAUGAAGGCUCUCGGGUUGUAAACCCCUUUCAGCAGGGACGAAUUUGACGGUACCAGCAGAAGAAGCCCCGGCCAACUACGUGCCAGCAGCCGCGGUAACACGUAGGGGGCAAGCGUUGUCCGGAUUUAUUGGGCGUAAAG
This 213-nucleotide ribosomal RNA is filed under the name uncultured bacterium. Its description in RNAcentral is "partial 16S ribosomal RNA". It matches the Rfam family "Bacterial small subunit ribosomal RNA", at positions 335 to 565 of the family's 1533-position model. The record is from RNAcentral.